RNAcentral lists this long non-coding RNA (208 nucleotides) under Elaeis guineensis (African oil palm). RNAcentral's name for it is "long non-coding RNA (EGUI_LNC052953)". The record is from RNAcentral. Lineage: Eukaryota; Viridiplantae; Streptophyta; Magnoliopsida; Arecales; Arecaceae.
GCUGUUAUUAUUGUUCUCCAUAAAGGACUUUGUGAAAAGCAUCUCUCAUCCUAGUGAUGAAGAUUUAUAGAGAUAGAUCUAAAAGACUGCUUGGAUUUUUUCAGUCCAACGUACAUAAAGUAUUUAUGAGUAGAAUUUGUUCUAUCAUGUACACCAUGUAUGAGAUCGGAUAUGGUAUACUCAUUAGAGUAGUGAGUGGAUACUUGCA